UGCAGUCGAGCGAAUGGAUUGAGAGCUUGCUCUCAAGAAGUUAGCGGCGGACGGGUGAGUAACACGUGGGUAACCUGCCCAUAAGACUGGGAUAACUCCGGGAAACCGGGGCUAAUACCGGAUAACAUUUUGAACCGCAUGGUUCGAAAUUGAAAGGCGGCUUCGGCUGUCACUUAUGGAUGGACCCGCGUCGCAUUAGCUAGUUGGUGAGGUAACGGCUCACCAAGGCAACGAUGCGUAGCCGACCUGAGAGGGUGAUCGGCCACACUGGGACUGAGACACGGCCCAGACUCCUACGGGAGGCAGCAGUAGGGAAUCUUCCGCAAUGGACGAAAGUCUGACGGAGCAACGCCGCGUGAGUGAUGAAGGCUUUCGGGUCGUAAAACUCUGUUGUUAGGGAAGAACAAGUGCUAGUUGAAUAAGCUGGCACCUUGACGGUACCUAACCAGAAAGCCACGGCUAACUACGUGCCAGCAGCCGCGGUAAUACGUAGGUGGCAAGCGUUAUCCGGAAUUAUUGGGCGUAAAGCGCGCGCAGGUGGUUUCUUAAGUCUGAUGUGAAAGCCCACGGCUCAACCGUGGAGGGUCAUUGGAAACUGGGAGACUUGAGUGCAGAAGAGGAAAGUGGAAUUCCAUGUGUAGCGGUGAAAUGCGUAGAGAUAUGGAGGAACACCAGUGGCGAAGGCGACUUUCUGGUCUGUAACUGACACUGAGGCGCGAAAGCGUGGGGA
This 730-nucleotide ribosomal RNA is filed under the name Bacillus thuringiensis. RNAcentral describes it as "bacterial SSU rRNA". It matches the Rfam family "Bacterial small subunit ribosomal RNA", at positions 56 to 767 of the family's 1533-position model. Lineage: Bacteria; Bacillati; Bacillota; Bacilli; Caryophanales; Bacillaceae. The record is from RNAcentral.